RNAcentral lists this ribosomal RNA (440 nucleotides) under uncultured bacterium. RNAcentral describes it as "partial 16S ribosomal RNA". It matches the Rfam family "Bacterial small subunit ribosomal RNA", at positions 338 to 795 of the family's 1533-position model. The record is from RNAcentral.
CCUACGGGAGGCUGCAGUGGGGAAUAUUGCUCAAUGGGGGAAACCCUGAUGCAGCGACGCCGCGUGAGUGAAGAAGGCCUUCGUGAUUUAAAGCUCUAUCAGCAGGGAAGAAAAUGACGGUACCUGAGUAAGAAGCCACGGCUAACUACGUGACAGCAGCCGCGGUCAUACGUCGGGGGCAAGCGUUAUCCGGAUUUACUGGGGGUAAAGGGAGCGUAGACGGCAGUGCAAGACUGGAGGGAAAGGCGGGGGCUCAACCCCCGUACUACUCUGGAAACUGUACGGCUGGAGUGCAGGAGAGGUAAGUGGAAUUCCUGGUGUAGCGGUGAAAUGCGUAGAUAUUAGGCGGAACACCAGUGGCGAAGGCGGCUUACGGGACUGUAACUGACGUUGAGGCUCGAAAGCGUGGGGAGCAAACAGGAUUAGAUACCCGAGUAGUC